AUGGGCCUGCCCUGCGCGUGAUAGGUAAUGAUGUUAAUCCACCAAGUUGGAUCUUUAGGGAGCCGGAUAAGGGGGUACGGUGUGCAGGUCUUCCCAGGGGAAGAAAGCCUAAUGUCUCCCUUGUGGCACCCACUUAGAAAAAGUGGAUCUGACGCGUUAGCCUACACGGCAGGGCGGGUUUUAU
Molecule: non-coding RNA, 184 nt
Filed under: Nitrospiraceae bacterium
Lineage: Bacteria; Pseudomonadati; Nitrospirota; Nitrospiria; Nitrospirales; Nitrospiraceae
Description: 6S RNA
Rfam family: 6S / SsrS RNA
About the family: E. coli 6S RNA was the first non coding RNA to be sequenced, but its function was unknown until recently. It consists of 184 nucleotides that fold into an extended hairpin structure with a large single-stranded internal bulge.
Source: RNAcentral